Spodoptera litura is the source of this 145-nucleotide non-coding RNA. NCBI's taxonomy places the organism in Eukaryota, Metazoa, Arthropoda, Insecta, Lepidoptera, Noctuidae. The record is from RefSeq and is a predicted model, not a curated record.
CGCAGACACAGAAACCAGCACAACCACAGGCAUUGAAAUAUAGGGACCCACAAAAUCCACAACAACUAAAUGCGUUUCCAACAUUCGGUGAUUUAGUGGAUGGGACCGGUCAAAAUGGUAAUUAUAAUUAUAAUGUCAAUCAGGC